UCCGAUACUGGCUCAGGGGCCCAGAGAGGCUGUGGAACCUUCCUCCUUGGAAAUAUUCAGAAGUUGUCUGGGCAAGGCCCUGAGCAAGCUGCUCGAGAAUUGCUGUGAUUUGAUCUCUUCCAGGCUAAAUUACUGUGUGACUGCAUGACUCAGGCUGUUGUUCUACUGGACCUGUGUGUUGCUAGAUGUCUCAGUCAUACAAAUCUGAUGUAGAAGAGGAGAUGAAAAAGUAACCACAGACAUUGAGGAAGAAAGGAUCAGGCAAAAGGGCAACACAUAGUGAAAGUCAGUUGCUUCUUCCAGCAAAGUCAAUGGGAGAAUUUCAUCUGACUUCCUUGAGAGCCGUUGCAACUCCAGAAUGGCAAAAGGAAUUGCACAGUAGGAAGGGAAAUCUAAGGUAUCCUCUCUCUGCUGAUCCUUGAUGUUGGGAAAGGAGGAACCAUCGAUACAGUCAAUCCUGACAAUAAAACUCCUGAGAUGAGCUACUCUCCAGUAGGGCAGCCAUUCAGACAGAGCUACAUAGGAUGACGAGCUUGUAUUUGCUUCUUGCACAAAUGAGUGGGAUCCACCACCCCAAAAUAAGGAGCUCAAUGACAAGGCUUCUUAGAGUGAAAUUUAUCACUAAGGAAAGCACAGACACUGUAACCUCGAUACUUCCUUCCCAGCGACUGGAUGAGAAACAGGAAUGGAACAGACUGAGAGCUACUUUUCUCUGCUUUUGGGGAUAGUGGUGAAUAGAAUUAACUGGCAUGUCGAGCACAGGAGAAGCAUUGCAAAGGACUCUUGCCACAGGCAACCUCUUCAGGUACACUUGCUUCUGGCUCUCUCUGCAAGCCACAUGCCUAUCUAGUAGGUCUUCCUAUGGAUUUCCUUGCUCAGAGCUUCCUUAUUUAUUAACAAGGAUCUGAUCCUACAAAAUGCUGAAUGUUACCAUCAGUUUCUACUGACUUUCAUGGAGGAAAU
This is a long non-coding RNA of Rhea pennata, 963 nucleotides long. RefSeq lists it as uncharacterized. The record is from RefSeq and is a predicted model, not a curated record. Lineage: Eukaryota; Metazoa; Chordata; Aves; Rheiformes; Rheidae. The transcript is spliced from 4 exons.